Molecule: ribosomal RNA, 301 nt
Filed under: uncultured bacterium
Lineage: Bacteria
Description: partial 16S ribosomal RNA
Rfam family: Bacterial small subunit ribosomal RNA
Source: RNAcentral
CAGUAGCCGCGGUAAUACUGAGGGUGCGAGCGUUAAUCGGAUUUACUGGGCGUAAAGCGUGCGUAGGCGGCUUCUUAAGUCGGAUGUGAAAUCCCUGAGCUUAACUUAGGAAUUGCAUUCGAUACUGGGAAGCUAGAGUAUGGGAGAGGAUGGUAGAAUUCCAGGUGUAGCGGUGAAAUGCGUAGAGAUCUGGAGGAAUACCGAUGGCGAAGGCAGCCAUCUGGCCUAAUACUGACGCUGAGGUACGAAAGCAUGGGGAGCAAACAGGAUUAGAUACCCCUGUAGUCCCUGUCCCUUAUAC